Molecule: unclassified non-coding RNA, 333 nt
Filed under: soil metagenome
Description: partial contains 5.8S ribosomal RNA, internal transcribed spacer 2, and large subunit ribosomal RNA
Rfam family: 5.8S ribosomal RNA (bases 1-120)
Source: RNAcentral
GAUGAAGAACGCAGCGAAAUGCGAUAUGUAAUGUGAAUUGCAGAAUUCAGUGAAUCAUCGAAUCUUUGAACGCACAUUGCGCCCGCCAGUAUUCUGGCGGGCAUGCCUGUUCGAGCGUCAUUUCAACCAUCAAGCCCCGGGCUUGUGUUGGGGACCUGCGGCUGCCGCAGGCCCUGAAAUGCAGUGGCGGGCUCGCUGUCACUCCGAGCGUAGUAAUACAUCUCGCUCUGGACGUGCUGCGGGUUCCGGCCGUUAAAAGCCUUAUUUACCCAAGGUUGACCUCGGAUCAGGUAGGAAGACCCGCUGAACUUAAGCAUAUCAAUAAGCGGAGGA